RNAcentral lists this ribosomal RNA (468 nucleotides) under uncultured bacterium. RNAcentral's name for it is "partial 16S ribosomal RNA". It matches the Rfam family "Bacterial small subunit ribosomal RNA", at positions 28 to 507 of the family's 1533-position model. The record is from RNAcentral.
GACGAACGCUGGCGGCGUGCUUAACACAUGCAAGUCGAACGGAAAGGCCCUGCUUUUGUGGGGUGCUCGAGUGGCGAACGGGUGAGUAACACGUGAGUAACCUGCCCUUGACUUUGGGAUAACUUCAGGAAACUGGGGCUAAUACCGGAUAGGAGCUCCUGCUGCAUGGUGGGGGUUGGAAAGUUUCGGGGGUUGGGGAUGGACUCGCGGCUUAUCAGCUUGUUGGUGGGGUAGUGGUUUACCAAGUCUUUGACGGGUAGCCGGCCUGAGAGGGCGACCGUGCACAUUGGAUCUGGCAUACUCCCCACACUCCUCCGGUCGGCAGUUGUCAGGAAUGUUAGUCGAUGGCCGGAGGCCUGAUACUACGACCUUCCGUGCGUGAUGAAGGCCUUCGGGUUGUAUACCACUUUCCGCUGUCACUAAACGUGAAUUACGUUAAUGGGUAAAGAAGCGCCGGCUAACUACGUG